GAUGAACGCUGGCGGCGUGCUUAAUACAUGCAAGUCGAACGGAAAGGUGCGGCGCUUGUUCCUUUCUCGUGUGCCGCGCGGGGGAGUGACACGUGAGUAUCCUCCCCCUGUCUUACGGAUAACAUCAGGGAACUGGGGCUAUUACCCGGUAUGAUAUCUUGCUCCACGUUGGUGGUUGGAAGGAUUCGGCGUUUGUGGAUGGACUCGCGGCUUAUCAGCUAGUUGGUGGGGUAGUGGCUUACCAAGGCUUCGACGGGUAGCCGGCCUGAGAGGGUGAACGGCCACACUGGAACUGAGACACGGUCCAGACUCCUACGGGAGGCAGCAGUAGGGAAUCUUCCGCAAUGGGCGAAAGCCUGACGGAGCAACGCCGCGUGAGUGAUGAAGGUCUUCGGAUCGUAAAACUCUGUUAUUAGGGAAGAACAAAUGUGUAAGUAACUAUGCACAUCUUGACGGUACCUAAUCAGAAAGCCACGGCUAACUACGUG
Molecule: ribosomal RNA, 488 nt
Filed under: uncultured bacterium
Lineage: Bacteria
Description: partial 16S ribosomal RNA
Rfam family: Bacterial small subunit ribosomal RNA
Source: RNAcentral